Long non-coding RNA from Varanus komodoensis (Komodo dragon), 154 nucleotides. RefSeq lists it as uncharacterized. The transcript has 3 exons. Lineage: Eukaryota; Metazoa; Chordata; Lepidosauria; Squamata; Varanidae. The record is from RefSeq and is a predicted model, not a curated record.
UCUCCCUGCACAGGCAGGCAGGACAUGCUCCAACUGAGCAAAGUUCAGGGAACCAAGUUUCAAUUUAGAUGCCAGGAAGCACUUCCUGACAGUUAGGACCCUGAGGGUGUGGAGUGGGCUUCCACAGGAGGUGGUUGAGGCCCCAUCGGUGCGG